Molecule: ribosomal RNA, 460 nt
Filed under: uncultured bacterium
Lineage: Bacteria
Description: partial 16S ribosomal RNA
Rfam family: Bacterial small subunit ribosomal RNA
Source: RNAcentral
CCUACGGGUGGCAGCAGUGAGGAAUAUUGGUCAAUGGCCGGAAGGCUGAACCAGCCAAGUCGCGUGAGGGAAUAAGGCCCUAUGGGUCGUAAACCUCUUUUGUCAGGGAGCAAAGGCGUCCACGAGCGGACGAAAGGAGAGUACCUGAAGAAAAAGCAUCGGCUAACUCCGUGCCAGCAGCCGCGGUAAUACGGAGGAUGCGAGCGUUAUCCGGUUUUAUUGGGUUUAAGGGGUGCGCAGCGGGUCUGUUAAGUCAGCGGUCAAAUCCGGGGGCUCAACCCCGCACCGCCGUUGAAACUGGCAGUCUCGAGUUGGAGAGAAGUAGGCGGAAUGCGCGGUGUAGCGGUGAAAUGCAUAGAGAUCGCGCAGAACUCCGAUUGCGAAGGCAGCAUGCCGGCUCCACACUGACGCUGAGGCACGAAAGCGUGGGUAUCGAACAGGAUUAGAUACCCGGGUAGUC